This 115-nucleotide ribosomal RNA is filed under the name Pogona vitticeps (central bearded dragon). Lineage: Eukaryota; Metazoa; Chordata; Lepidosauria; Squamata; Agamidae. The record is from RNAcentral.
GAAGCUGGCUAACAUCCUGAGCAUAGCAGACCUCAAGUGAUCUUAGAAACUAAGCAGGGUUGGACCUGAUUAGUACUUGGAUGGGAAACCAACAAUCAAAUACCAGGGAUCUUCA